AGUGAACGCUGGCGGUAGGCCUAACACAUGCAAGUCGAACGGCAGCACAGUAAGAGCUUGCUCUUACGGGUGGCGAGUGGCGGACGGGUGAGGAAUACAUCGGAAUCUACUUUUUCGUGGGGGAUAACGUAGGGAAACUUACGCUAAUACCGCAUACGACCUACGGGUGAAAGCAGGGGAUCUUCGGACCUUGCGCGAUUGAAUGAGCCGAUGUCGGAUUAGCUAGUUGGCGGGGUAAAGGCCCACCAAGGCGACGAUCCGUAGCUGGUCUGAGAGGAUGAUCAGCCACACUGGAACUGAGACACGGUCCAGACUCCUACGAGAGGCAGCAGUGGGGAAUAUUGGACAAUGGGCGCAAGCCUGAUCCAGCCAUACCGCGUGGGUGAAGAAGGCCUUCGGGUUGUAAAGCCCUUUUGUUGGGAAAGAAAAGCAGCAGGUUAAUACCCCGCUGUUCUGACGGUACCCAAAGAAUAAGCACCGGCCAACUUCGUG
Molecule: ribosomal RNA, 492 nt
Filed under: uncultured bacterium
Lineage: Bacteria
Description: partial 16S ribosomal RNA
Rfam family: Bacterial small subunit ribosomal RNA
Source: RNAcentral